Non-coding RNA from Oryza nivara, 207 nucleotides. The record is from Rfam. NCBI's taxonomy places the organism in Eukaryota, Viridiplantae, Streptophyta, Magnoliopsida, Poales, Poaceae.
AAUAAGUGCAGUUUUAUACUAUUCAUGUUCAACGUUUGACCGUUCGUCUUAUUUGAAAAUUUUAUAUGAUUAGUUAUUUUAUUGCUAUUAGAUGAUAAAACAUAAAUAGUACUUUAUGUGUGACUAAAUAUUUUUAAAUUUUUCAUAAACUUUUCGAAUAAAACGGACGAUUAAAUGUUGGGCACGGAUUUCAAGACGGAGGUAGUA